This 497-nucleotide ribosomal RNA is filed under the name uncultured bacterium. Its description in RNAcentral is "partial 16S ribosomal RNA". It matches the Rfam family "Bacterial small subunit ribosomal RNA", at positions 28 to 507 of the family's 1533-position model. The record is from RNAcentral.
GAUGAACGCUGGCGGCGUGCCUAACACAUGCAAGUCGAGCGAACGGACGAGAAGCUUGCUUUUCUGAUGUUAGCGGCGGACGGGUGAGUAACACGUGGAUAACCUACCUAUAAGACUGGGAUAACAUCGGGAAACCGGAGCUAAUACCGGAUAAUAUUUUGAACCGCAUGGUUCAAAAGUGAAAGACGGUCUUGCUGUCACUUAUAGAUGGAUCCGCGCUGCAUUAGCUAGUUGGUAAGGUAACGGCUUACCAAGGCAACGAUGCAUAGCCGACCUGAGAGGGUGAUCGGCCACACUGGAACUGAGACACGGUCCAGACUCCUACGGGAGGCAGCAGUAGGGAAUCUUCCGCAAUGGGCGAAAGCCUGACGGAGCAACGCCGCGUGAGUGAUGAAGGUCUUCGGAUCGUAAAACUCUGUUAUUAGGGAAGAACAUAUGUGUAAGUAACUAUGCACAUCUUGACGGUACCUAAUCAGGAAGCCACGGCUAACUACGUG